UCCUACGGGAGGCAGCAGUGGGGAAUAUUGCACAAUGGGGGAAACCCUGAUGCAGCCAUGCCGCGUGUGUGAAGAAGGCCUUCGGGUUGUAAAGCACUUUCAGUUGUGAGGAAAAGUUAGUAGUUAAUACCUGCUAGCCGUGACGUUAACAUCAGAAGAAGCACCGGCUAACUCCGUGCCAGCAGCCGCGGUAAUACGGAGGGUGCGAGCGUUAAUCGGAAUUACUGGGCGUAAAGCGCACGCAGACGGUUUGUUAAGCUAGAUGUGAAAGCCCCGGGCUCAACCUGGGAUGGUCAUUUAGAACUGGCAGACUAGAGUCUUGGAGAGGGGAGUGGAAUUCCAGGUGUAGCGGUGAAAUGCGUAGAUAUCUGGAGGAACAUCAGUGGCGAAGGCGACUCCCUGGCCAAAGACUGACGCUCAUGUGCGAAAGUGUGGGUAGCGAACAGGAUUAGAUACCCUGGUAGUCCACACCGUAAACGCUGUCUACUAGCUGUGUGUGCCUUUAAGGCGUGCGUAGCGAAGCUAACGCGCUAAGUAGACCGCCUGGGGAGUACGGCCGCAAGGUUAAAACUCAAAUGAAUUGACGG
This 587-nucleotide ribosomal RNA is filed under the name uncultured bacterium. Its description in RNAcentral is "bacterial SSU rRNA". It matches the Rfam family "Bacterial small subunit ribosomal RNA", at positions 337 to 916 of the family's 1533-position model. The record is from RNAcentral.